Ailuropoda melanoleuca (giant panda) is the source of this 4741-nucleotide RNA transcript. RefSeq lists it as uncharacterized. The record is from RefSeq and is a predicted model, not a curated record. NCBI's taxonomy places the organism in Eukaryota, Metazoa, Chordata, Mammalia, Carnivora, Ursidae. The transcript is spliced from 4 exons.
AGGUUAGCGCAAGGGCUUGCGGGGGGCCAACUAGCAAGGACACCCGGGAAGUCUCGAGAAGAGCCGACUAUGAGGGUCCCAGCGUGUGCGACAGGUCGCGGGCGUGCGCGGAUGUUGUCGCAGGCAUUUAGCGGGAUCCGCUCAGCGCCAAAGUUGCCGCGCCGUUGGGGACGUCCUGAUAGGAGAGCUCUGAGAAGUGUGGGACUGAAAACGUUGAGGACCUUUGCACUGUGCCAGGGACCUCCAAGGUUAAAUAGGAUGUGAUUUGUGUUCCUGGGGCUUGAGGACAGUGUAGAAGAAUACGUAGGCUUACGUAGGUCCAAGCCUAAGUCCUUAAGCAGUGCCUCGCUUUAUGACAUAGGUGGAUGCUAACCAAGGUCGUAUAGUUUUAAAGCUGGAACUGAAUUCAUUAUCUUCCCCAGCUCCCACCCCGCUUCUUCGUUCAGUAAAUGCACCAGCAUCGGAGAAUGUGUUUUUGGAGACUGAAAUCUGCCCAGAGCCUAUGGAGUAGAGGAGAAGAUCACUAAACCAGUGGCUUUCACACUUCGGUGACUGUGACCAGUGAUGGAGCAGUGGUUUGUGCAGUGGGACUCACUCACUUAACCGAAGAUCCCCCAGUAGAGAAAAAGGACUAGGAGAAAAAGGCCACGUCACCAAAAGUUACCAGUGGCCAGAGGCCGCCUGAAGCAAACCACAUGAUCUACCUGGAACUGAAGCAACAUGGGAGCUUCUGCCAAGUGCCCUUAGAGCCUGCCAAAACCAGACGUUUCCAUGACUGCCAGAACAACAAGGCCUCCAGAUUUACAUCUGAAUGCUACUACUAUCUGUGUUUCAAAGGACAGGAGGAAAAUGCUCUAAUUAAUCAGCCGGAAAGGGGCUGAAUGGGAAUUCAUACGCAUGGGUGUGGCAGGCAGUGUUGAGUAAAAGGAGUAGAGAAAGAGCAGGUCGCGUCAAGAUUCAUUAAGCUUUAUUGACCUGGAUGGUGAUGAGAAGUCAAUAUUGGCUUCUAGUGGAAAGUUUUACUGGGGAUCAAAAUCCAAAGUGCAAAAGAGUUGUUUGAUGUUUUCCAUCACAGGACAGCUCAUUGGUGUGUAGGCUUGGCUAUAAUUUUCUUUUGCUUCUUGAGGCAAAGAUUAUAACAAGUAAAUUUGAAAGGAGAAAUAUAUUUCCACCUCCCACCUCCCGUGGUAGGAAAGGAGGGGUUACAUAAGGACUGACUAGGUUAGAGGGGGCCUGUCGCACAGGAAAUGGAACACAGGCCCCAGACUCUGCCUCCUUCCACCCUGCUCAGCUCUGAAGUGUCCCCAUUCCGGUGGCCUUUAUGUCCCUCACCGCCAUUUCUACCUCCUACCUGAGAAGGAUCUCUUUGGACAUAUUUGUUUAGGUUUGUUUGUUUUUACCCUAAAAUUUUGAGUGCCUUCUAGUGAGUUCAUGUUACAUCCAGUUUUCACACUCUGCUGGGGAAGGCAGACACAUGUAGGUAACACAUACCAGUGAUCAUUGUUGUAGUGGGGGAAUGAGAACGGUGCCAUUGUUGCUUGGAGGUGAGGCCACACGAACAUUGCAAAGUGCAGUCUGACACCCACUGCCUCUCUCUGUCCUGUGUCCAUUGCUGGAGGACAGAGCAAGGGUCAACAUGGAGAGCAUACCCUCUCCAGAUGGGUCUGGGGGUACUAGUACCCCCGUGCUCAGCGACAAAGCCUGGGUUGAAUGGUUCAAUCAGUAAUCCAGAAAUCAUGGCUGCAUGCCUGCUGUGGGCACACCUGCAUGCUAGAUUUUUUCUAGGGAGCAGGAUGGAUAAAGAAGGCAUGUGGGGGCUGCCCUCAAGGAGUUCAUAGCCUCACUAGAGAGGUAAAAACUAAGCUAGCAAGCAGAUGUGGUGGGAAGGAGUUUUUGUUUCUGUUCUUUCUUUUUCUUGGAGUUGGGUGCCUACUAGGGUGGGAUGCAGAGGGAGACAGACUCUUCUGGCAUGACUUGGUACAGAUGUACAAGCUGUGCACUGUACAAUUUGAGGGGGAGCCAUUCACAUAAACAGUGAGUGAUGCUCCUGGAAGAAUCCUGGGUGGUGUAGAAGGUCAAAUAAUUUUAGAGAUCUCAUGCCUGGGAGGCAGCCCACUGUGAAGUUCCCUAAUCCCAUUCUCCACCUGCCUGGAUCUAGUGCCCUCUAGAGCAGUGUUAUUCAAUAGAACUUUGUGUGGUGAUGGUGACACUCUAUCUGUGCUGGCCCAUGCGGAAGUUCCUAACCACAUGUGCCAGUUAGACACUUGAAAUGUUGCCAGUGUCACCGAGGAACCGAAUUUUAAAUGUUAUUUAAUUUUAAUUAAUAAUUUAAGUAGCUACCUGUGGCUAGUCGCUACUAUUGGAAAGCACAGCUCUGGAGUGAAGGAUAGAUAGCCUAACAAGAAGUAAGACCCCCCAGGAUGAGAGCAAAAGGAUAUAAAGUGACUAAGGGGCUAUUGAAGAGGAAGAAGACAUAGAUAAUUUAAGGGUGAAGACGUUUCUCUGCCAACCGUGAGGGAGCAGACAUUUUUUUAAAAGAUUUUAUUUAUUUAUUUGACAGAGAGAGCAAGAGAGGGAACACAGGCAGGGGGAGUGGGAGAGGGAGAAGCAGGCUUCCCAUUGAGCAGGGAGCCCAAUGUGGGGCUCGAUCCCAGGACCCUGGGAUCAUGACCUGAGCCGAAGGCAGACACUUCACAACUGAGCCACCCAGUUGCCCCAGGGAGCAGACAUUUAAACAGGGCCAAGAGCACUGAUGCAAAAAAAAAUAAAUGGCCAGUCACAUAGUAUAUGACUUUAUUUAUAUGAAAUAUCCAGAAUGGGGAAAACCAUAAAGUCAAAAAGCUGAUUAGUGGAGAAAUGAGGGAAUGGGGAGUGACCGCUUAAUGGGUCCAGAGUUUCCUUUUGGGGCAAUGAAAUGUUUGGAACCAGACAGAGGUGGGUGUUGUAUGACACUGUGAAUAUAUGAGAUGCCACUGAAUUUUACACUUUGAAACUGGUUAAUUUUAUGUUGUGGAAAUUUUACUUUAGUUGAAAGGACCCAACUCGCCUGCAGUGGAAGGGGAGCUGGUACUACUGACAAAAACAUGACCACUCCCAUGUCCCUAACUCUCCUUGUGAUCUCUAAAGAGGUGGAAUAUAUGAUAUACACCCCAAAUAAAGCACUUUUAUACAUUCUUCAGGACUCUGUGCGAAUGUGUGUGUCACAGCUAACAUGUAAGACCACUUGGAGUUUGGCCUGUCCCAUCUGGAACAGAGAUGUAUGCUGGUGUGAUCAAGGAGUAUAGUUAGGAAUGACCAAGGACUAGACCAUGUGGGUCUGGGGGAGGGGGUUGAUAUCAAGAUAGCUUGGAAGGGUAAACCUCAGUCAUUCAUUCGCUCUGAUUUGGUCAUUUGAGUUGUAUUAGGCAUUAUAGAUUUGAGAGCUUGAAAGGACCCAAAGUGGUCAUUAGGCCAUCCCUCUUCCCUGGGGCACUUACCACCCUCCAAGUGAAGGCGACCAGAUGGCCCAGCCUGGCAAUUAUAGAAGUAGUAGUUAGAGCAAUGGCUCCCACUUAUUGAGGGCUUACUCUGUGUGCAGAGCACUCUGCUAAGCAUAUCACAUGUAUUAUUCUGUUUAAUUCUCUCCACAACCCUGUGAAGUAUGCGUCAGUUCUAUUUCAGAGAUGAGAAAGCAGGUCCACAGCACUCAUUCAAACCAGAAAGCAAUGAGAGGCAGGAUUCACACCUACAAAUACCUGACCACAAAGCUUAUUCUUGUAACUGCUACUCUACAUUGCUUCUGAUGUUCUGUAUUUCUUUCACUGUGUUUCCGGGGUAAAAGUAGCAUUUUUAUGAAAAAAAAUCUCAUCACCAUGCCUUAGCCAUGUGUUAUGCAUUUCCUCUGCCAUAACUUUGUUUACGUCUCCUCUUCAUCUCUGAUUCUAUUCACCCUUCGAAGCCCAGCUCAGGCCCACAGUCUCCAGGAAGACUUCCCUUGUCCUUUAGAUCAGAAUGGUCUCUCCCACCUCUGGAUUCCUAUAGCACUUUUUAAAAUUUUUUUUAUUAACUAUUUUUUUAAGUGUUAAAAAUUUUAGCGUAUAGCUCAAUUAAUUGUUAUAUGUAUAUUACCUGUAUACCCAUCAGAUCAAGAGAUCAAACAUUGCUAGCACUCGGAAGAUUCCCUUGUGCCCCUUCCCAGUCCAUAGACGCCAUUAGCCUUCUGUUACCAUCUACAAAUUUCACCUGUUCUUAAAAUGUUUAUGAACAGGUCACGUAGUAUGUAGUUUUGUAUCUGGCUUCUUCAACCUGUGAUAUUUGUCUGUGAUAUUCAUCACACUGUUGUUUAGUGACAUUUUUUGCUUUUUUAUUGCUAUGUGGUAUUCCUUUGUACAAAUAUACCAUAAUCCAUCCAUUCUUCUGCAGAUGGACAUCAGGCCUGUGAUGCUUAGUUUUUUGUGUCAACUUGGCUAGGCUAUAGUACCCAGUUAACCAACCACUAACCUAGGUGUUACGGUGAAGGUAUUUUGUAGAUGUGUUAGCAUCUACAACCAGUUGAAUUGAAGUAAAGAAGAUUACCUGUGAUAAUGGGGGUGGGGCCUUCCGAUCAGUUGAAGGCCUUAAGAACAAAAACUGAAGUUUCCCAGAGAAGAAAUUUUGCUUUAAGACGGCAGCAUUGGGCAAAUGGGUGGCUCAGUCGGUUGAGUGUCUGCCUUCAGCUCAGGUCAUGAUUCCAGGGUACUGGGAUCGAGCCCCACAUUGGUUU